Molecule: ribosomal RNA, 561 nt
Filed under: uncultured bacterium
Lineage: Bacteria
Description: bacterial SSU rRNA
Rfam family: Bacterial small subunit ribosomal RNA
Source: RNAcentral
CGGAACGUGCCCAGUCGUGGGGGAUAACGCAGCGAAAGCUGUGCUAAUACCGCAUACGAUCUACGGAUGAAAGCGGGGGAUUCGCAAGGACCUCGCGCGAUUGGAGCGGCUGAUAUCAGAUUAGGUAGUUGGUGAGGUAAAGGCUCACCAAGCCUGCGAUCUGUAGCUGGUCUGAGAGGACGACCAGCCACACUGGAACUGAGACACGGUCCAGACUCCUACGGGAGGCAGCAGUGGGGAAUUUUGGACAAUGGGCGCAAGCCUGAUCCAGCAAUGCCGCGUGCAGGAUGAAGGCCUUCGGGUUGUAAACUGCUUUUGUACGGAACGAAAAGGCUUCUUCUAAUACAGGAGGCUCAUGACGGUACCGUAAGAAUAAGCACCGGCUAACUACGUGCCAGCAGCCGCGGUAAUACGUAGGGUGCAAGCGUUAAUCGGAAUUACUGGGCGUAAAGCGUGCGCAGGCGGUAAUGUAAGACAGAUGUGAAAUCCCCGGGCUCAACCUGGGACCUGCAUUUGUGACUGCAUUGCUGGAGUGCGGCAGAGGGGGAUGGAAUUCCGCGU